CGGCUCAAUAAAAUAAGAAAAAGGGUAUCUAAAUUCUUGUGUUAAUAUGUUUUAAAAAUGUAAUAGAAAGUGAAAGUUUAUAUUGUUCAACUGUGCAUUUCCCUCCCUCAAAAUCCUGUUGGAAACAAAUUCAAAAAACAAGAGAGAAAGAAGAACAAAAGAGUAUUGAAUCCAAUGUGUAUAACACAGUAACAGCUCAAAAACACAUAAUAGAGGAAGCAAUUACCAAAGAAACACCUCUUUCUUCUUUCUUCAACCCUAAUUUAAUUUCAUCCUCUCUUCAUUCUUGAAUUCCUUUUCCCUCUCUUUCAUAUUCCGCCAUGUAAUUCCUCACCUCUUCUUUAAUCAUCUUCUGCAUCACACAAAUGAAUUCCUCACCAAAACACGCCCGUUUCCGUCUCUCUUUCUCCUCCACCGCCGAUGAUGAUAUACUCUGCUCCCCUCCUAUCGGCGAUAACGUAUCUGCUCCUGGAAGACACAGAGUUAACCGAGUCGACGGUUCCAUAUCCGUACUCCGAACCGAAUCGCUCGUUUCGGAUUCCGACGGACUCAAACACUGAUUCGAAACCGAAAUCGUCGAUCCUUGACUCGCGCAAUCAGUUUUCUUCUCCCUAAUCCAACUGAACUUGCGUUUCAAUGUCGAAUUCCAGUGAUUCUUAAUCGCAUUGUCCGUUCGUCCAUUCAGAAGCCUAGCGAUCGUCGCCCACUUGUUUCCGUACUUUCCGUGGGCUUCUACGAUGAUUUCGUCCUCCUCUGCUGUGAAAGAUCGGCGCUCCACGCCAGGACAGAGCUGAUUAAACCACCGCAGACGGCAGGAUUUUCCUGACCGGCCGUGAAUCGACUUACUGAUAAUCGACCAAUUCCGAGCGCCUUGAUUCUUCACUAACAUUCGCAGCAACUCGUCUUCCUCGGGACUCCAUGGGCCUUUCACCCGAUCGAUGUCCGCCUGUGUAGACC
Molecule: unclassified non-coding RNA, 957 nt
Filed under: Hevea brasiliensis (rubber tree)
Lineage: Eukaryota; Viridiplantae; Streptophyta; Magnoliopsida; Malpighiales; Euphorbiaceae
Source: RNAcentral